CUCCUCUCCCUGCAGGUGCCUGGCAAACUCCUCAUCUUCUGAGGUCCAAUACCGGCACCUUCUUUGAAGUUCCAUUAAGGCAGGAACUUCAGUUUAUUCAGAUAAUCCUCAACAAUUUUGUACUAUAGUUUAGCAUGCAGCCACGAACAAGAGAUGCCCUCAUGACUGAAUGGAUGACUCAAGAGUGUAGGGACCCGGCUUCCAGUCCUGACUCUGCUACUAGCUUGCUUAUGUAGUGUCGGGAAAUUGUCUCCCUUCUCUGGAUCUCAGCUCCAAAACAAGGAGUAUUCUCCAGAGAACAGAACCAACAGGAGAUACAGGAAGUCCACUAUCUGCUGUCUGCAAGCUGGAGACUCAGGAAAGCAGGGGGUGUAGUUCCAGUCCAAGUACUAAGGCCUGAGAAUAAAGGAGCAAGAAUAAAGCCCUCAGUGGGUUGGAUGAGGCCCACACACAUUGAGGAGUACAAUUUUCUUGACUCAGUCCAUGGAUUCAAAUGUUAAUCUCUUCCAGAAACACCUUCACAGAAACACAGAGAAAUAAUGCUUAACCAUCUACCUGGGCAUCCAUCCUGUAGACCAGUUGAGUAGACACAUAAAAUUAACCAUCUCAAUUAUUAAUGCAGUUAUGAGAUACUUACAUAUGUAUGAAAUGCAUAUACAAUUUGUAACUGGGUUUUUUUUCGUAAGCAGGACUAUCCUCUUAUCUAAGUUUAUGGCUUCUCUGAUUUUUUGCUUUUAAAUAUCUGUUCUUUUACAAACUGGUAAUGCUGGUAGAAGGUAGGCUUUUACAAAAUCUUAAAUUGUCAGAAUU
Miniopterus natalensis is the source of this 810-nucleotide non-coding RNA. The record is from RefSeq and is a predicted model, not a curated record. Lineage: Eukaryota; Metazoa; Chordata; Mammalia; Chiroptera; Miniopteridae.